GACGAACGCUGGCGGCGCGCCUAACACAUGCAAGUCGAACGAGAGAUGAGGAGCUUGCUCUUCAAAUCGAGUGGCGAACGGGUGAGUAACGCGUGAGGAACCUGCCUCAAAGAGGGGGACAACAGUUGGAAACGACUGCUAAUACCGCAUAAGCCCACGGCUCGGCAUCGAGCAGAGGGAAAAGGAGUGAUCCGCUUUGAGAUGGCCUCGCGUCCGAUUAGCUGGUUGGUGAGGUAACGGCCCACCAAGGCGACGAUCGGUAGCCGGACUGAGAGGUUGAACGGCCACAUUGGGACUGAGACACGGCCCAGACUCCUACGGGAGGCAGCAGUGGGAAUAUUGCACAAUGGGGGAAACCCUGAUGCAGCGACGCCGCGUGGAGGAAGAAGGUCUUCGGAUUGUAAACUCCUGUUGUUGAGGAAGAUAAUGACGGUACUCAACAAGGAAGUGACGGCUAACUACGUG
Molecule: ribosomal RNA, 465 nt
Filed under: uncultured bacterium
Lineage: Bacteria
Description: bacterial SSU rRNA
Rfam family: Bacterial small subunit ribosomal RNA
Source: RNAcentral